GCGCGUGUGGCGGAAUGGCAGACGCACCAGACUUAGGAUCUGGCGUUUAACGACGUGGGGGUUCAAGUCCCUUCACGCGCACCA
Molecule: transfer RNA, 84 nt
Filed under: Paenibacillus turicensis
Lineage: Bacteria; Bacillati; Bacillota; Bacilli; Caryophanales; Paenibacillaceae
Also listed under: 5 other names
Description: tRNA-Leu
Rfam family: tRNA
About the family: Transfer RNA (tRNA) molecules are approximately 80 nucleotides in length. Their secondary structure includes four short double-helical elements and three loops (D, anti-codon, and T loops).
Source: RNAcentral